Molecule: long non-coding RNA, 2146 nt
Filed under: Mus musculus (house mouse)
Lineage: Eukaryota; Metazoa; Chordata; Mammalia; Rodentia; Muridae
Description: predicted gene, 47400
Source: RNAcentral
AGUGAGUCCCGCUUCUUGCCGCCCUGGGCGGCGUCGCACGCUACAGGGGUCUCGGUGCCUCCGCCACUCAUCCCGACCAGUUCCGCCCACCCGCGGCGUCCACGGCGCAGGCACGGACCUUUAGGGAGAGAGACGCUCUGGUGUUACGUCAUCACAGGGCGUCGGAGUCGUUGGGUUCGGGGAAGGCGCCGGGAGUGUAGCCGAUGCGGCCAUGCUGGAUGAGGGCAGAUGAUCUGCGUAUGGGAGGUGUUUGAAAAUUACUUGUUUCUCGGUUAUCCCAUCCUACGCCGGUAGGAACUAAACUCACUAUGGUUGGAGCAAGGCGCGGCGAGCAGAAGAAUAACAGUAGUAGUAUAUACAUAGUUUCUACAUUGUUACUGGCCACCACUAUUUUAUAAAGCAUUUUGACAUGUAUUGUCACCUUAGGGUCAUCAUAGCAACCUGAGGAGACAGAUCAUAAUUUUUUUAACAAAUAAAGCAACACGGUUAGAGGUUAAGAAACUCGUUUUUGUUUUGUUUAGGUUUUUUGUUGUUGCUUGGUUGGGUGUUUGAGAUGGUCUCCCUAAAUUAGACUAAUAAGUGCUGACAUUUGAUAUAUUCCAUAAUGUUCAUUUUCUCAACAAAUUGUCAUGCUUCAAAGAGAGCAAUGCACGGCCUCCCAGUGGUUUUUACCUCCUCAUCAUCCAGGGGUUCUUCCUUAGGACUCAGCUGUGACCGCUUCCUCCGCUACUCUCUUCUGAACAAUGAACAAUGUCAUCCUAAAGGGUCUUAGUCCAGUCUGAAGGAGGAACGUAAAGCGACAUAAACGGCAGGAAGAGGAAUCGUUCCAUACCUGUGGAUACUAGCUGUUGAGGGGAUCAGGAAAGACUUCCCAGAAAAGACCAGUGUUUGUCUCCAGUCUUGAAGUGAGACAUGGAGAGAAUAACUAGGUGAAGCAGGAAUUGGGGGAUUAUCGCAGAAGAAAUGGUAAACCCCCAAAGGAGGACAAAUAAAAAAUUUAAUUUCCUAGCUUUUUAAUCAAUAUGUAGAAAUCAUAGUUUUCAAAGACAUUUGUUAUUCUCCUCACUUCCAAGAAAUUUCAUAUUCAUUUUUCUGCAUUGUAGAAAAAAAUUUCUUUCCCUUUGCAUAAUUUCCUUUAUGACUGUGCACCAUGAAGACUCACUACAAUAUGUGAAAUUGAAUGCUUUUCUUACAUUAAUGUGGCUGUUUGUUUUUUUUUUUAAAUGUUGAUUCUGGAUUUCACCUCUGAAAUUUGCCAACUCUGUGUUGUGAUAAAGAAAUUCUAGUUGCCAUAAUUAACACUUUGGAAAUAGAAUUGGGUCUUCAGAUAGUUUCCAAUAAAGCGUCAGCGAAGGCAAAGAAGCCGGAACCUGAGCUCUCUGGAUCCCAGCAUUCCUGCCCUCCGGCAAGGACAUUCUUGGAAGCACGGCUUGGGAAUUCCUGCUCUAUUUCACCAGUUUCUACUUCCUGUUCUCACCAAUACAUUGUUACUUCUGGAAUAGCAACAAGAAGACAAGGCCAGUACUCAGUACCGAUUUGCAGUUACGGCUGACUUAUGAUACCUGUCAUCAACAAUGUGACAUUUAAAAAAUACUUUCUAUGACUGAAUCUGCGAACACAGACUCGAACAAGGGCUGACUUAGGAAAAUCUCCAUUUUCAGAUGAAGAGACCUAAGGUCAGAAGGGCCACAGCAGUUCCUGCCUUCUCAGUAGAGACAUGCCACAUGAUGGAUUGUGAGGAUUAAUGUCAUGUUUUAAGUUUAAAUUACUGUGCUUAAAACAUUAGAAUUAUAAAACAAAAAGGCCUGUAAGCCUCCCUUGCCCAAGGAAUAACUUCCAGAAAUAACUUCCUGGAAUCCUUGGGGCUGUUAUCCAUGUAAGAUAACAAAUCACGUUUUGCUUCUUCCAACAAGCCUAAUUACCCAAACUGCACAGGCUAUGCUUGAUCACACAUAGGUGGGAGGUGUAUAGACAGUAAGUCCGUCAGAAUAGAUGUUUGCUCCUAACCGUACACAGCCCUGUGGGUUUUGCUUUUAUAAGCCUCUGACUAAGGUAAUUCACUAACAUUCUCUAGGCAUCCCUGGUAUGGACCGGCCCAGUGUCCAUUAUCCUGGCCAGUAUUAUAAUAAAACUAGCCUCAAAUUUU